UACGAAGGGAGCUAGCGUUGUUCGGAAUCACUGGGCGGAAAGCGCACGUAGGCGGAUUUGCCAGUCAGGGGUGAAAUCCCGGGGCUCAACCUCGGAACUGCCUUUGAUACAGCAAGUCUUGAGUUCGAGAGAGGUGGGUGGAAUUCCUAGUGUAGAGGUGAAAUUCGUAGAUAUUAGGAAGAACACCGGUGGCGAAGGCGGCCCACUGGCUCGACACUGACGCUGAGGUGCGAAAGCGUGGGGAGCAAACAGG
Molecule: ribosomal RNA, 253 nt
Filed under: uncultured bacterium
Lineage: Bacteria
Description: partial 16S ribosomal RNA
Rfam family: Bacterial small subunit ribosomal RNA
Source: RNAcentral